Molecule: long non-coding RNA, 404 nt
Filed under: Populus trichocarpa (black cottonwood)
Lineage: Eukaryota; Viridiplantae; Streptophyta; Magnoliopsida; Malpighiales; Salicaceae
Description: long non-coding RNA (PTRI_LNC003036)
Source: RNAcentral
UAAUUCUGUCUCAAGAGACCAAACUUCUUCAAUCUGAAAUGCUGCAGUGUUGAUCUUUAGUGGCUGAAGCCCUACUCUUUUUCCUUACAAUUCGUUUCUGUAUUUCCAUUAUCACAGAAACCAUUCUCUUUUCCUUGCUCUUUUGCAUUUUCUUCAGGUGAUGAAUCCUUUUCUUUUGCUUUUUCUUCAGGUGAUGAAUCCUUUUCUCUUGCUUCUUCUUCAGCUUUCAAUCUGGCGUCCUCUUUUGCCUUCUCAAGCCCUGCUAUUAGUCCCUCCAAGCAAACCUUGUUGUCUCCAGGAAGAGUCUUUGGCAUUAAAUGCUCCGCCACUUCAGCGGGAGUCAUUUUGGUUUCUCCCAGCAACUCUUGGAUCUUGGAAUACAAGUGGUGUGUUUCAAGCCGAAG